Molecule: ribosomal RNA, 460 nt
Filed under: uncultured bacterium
Lineage: Bacteria
Description: partial 16S ribosomal RNA
Rfam family: Bacterial small subunit ribosomal RNA
Source: RNAcentral
CCUACGGGAGGCUGCAGUGAGGAAUAUUGGUCAAUGGACGAGAGUCUGAACCAGCCAAGUAGCGUGAAGGAUGACUGCCCUAUGGGUUGUAAACUUCUUUUAUAUGGGAAUAAACUGUUCCACGUGUGGGAUUUUGUAUGUACCAUCUGAAUAAGGAUCGGCUAACUCCGUGCCAGCAGCCGCGGUAAUACGGAGGAUCCGAGCGUUAUCCGGAUUUAUUGGGUUUAAAGGGAGCGUAGGUGGAUUGUUAAGUCAGUUGUGAAAGUUUGCGGCUCAACCGUAAAAGUGCAGUUGAAACUGGCAGUCUUGAGUACAGUAGAGGUGGGCGGAAUUCGGGGUGUAGCGGUGAAAUGCUUAGAUAUCACGAAGAACUCCGAUUGCGAAGGCAGUUCACUGGACUGCAACUGACACUGAUGCUCGAAAGUGUGGGUAUCAAACAGGAUUAGAUACCCGAGUAGUC